Non-coding RNA from Phoenix dactylifera (date palm), 2792 nucleotides. NCBI's taxonomy places the organism in Eukaryota, Viridiplantae, Streptophyta, Magnoliopsida, Arecales, Arecaceae. The record is from RefSeq and is a predicted model, not a curated record.
UUUGAUUUCGCUGGAAGACGAAAAAAGUGAUAGGGCCGAGUGAGAGAAAAAAGAUCGAAGAAGAGAGGGGGGAGAGAGAAAGAGAGUUCGCCUCGCGGUUCCCAGAUUUGAGGGCGUUUCACGUUUUUCUAGGGUUUUGGAGUGUGGGAGAGGAGAGAGAUAGAGAUUUGUUUCUAAAGAGAUAAGCAACUGGGGCCCAUUAUAUCUAACAGUAACUGAUUUCUCUGGAGGCUCGAAUUUUGGAGGAGCACCACUCUUCCUCCUCCCUUCCUCUCCCCUUCCUCUCCUUCCUUCGCGUCAAUUUGCUGGUGAUAUGCACUAAUAAAGAAGGCUGGCUCUGUUUGUGCGCGGAGGAUUUGUAAUGUUGAUUUAGGGAUCUGGAAGGGAAAUAAUAAUGCAGCGCUCUCUUUUGGAAAUUAUUAUGGAUGGCCAGAGUGGCGGAGAAAAAUCAAUCUUAGCAUCGAUGAAAUUUGCUGUUCUACCAAUUGCGAAGGUCUUUACCAUGUGCUUUAUGGGAUUUCUGAUGGCCUCCAAGCAUGUCAAUAUUCUUCCUGCAAAUGGCCGGAAGCUUCUUAAUGGGCUAGUCUUUUCUCUUCUUCUUCCUUGCCUGAUAUUCUCUCAACUUGGACGGGCAAUCACUUUGCAAAAAUUGGUAGAGUGGUGGUUUAUCCCUGUUAAUGUCAUUUUGGGAACGAUAUCAGGUUCACUAGUAGGUCUUAUUGUUGCAUCCAUUGUUCGUCCCCCAUAUCCAUACUUCAAGUUCACCAUUAUACAUAUUGGGAUUGGGAACAUUGGAAAUAUACCUCUUGUUCUGAUUGCAGCUCUAUGCCGAGACAAAUCCAACCCCUUUGGUGACUCUAGCAAAUGUAGCCAAGAUGGGAAUGCUUACAUCUCUUUUGGUCAGUGGGUUGGUGCAAUUGUUCUGUACACUUAUGUGUUUCAGAUGCUCGCACCACCACCUGGUGAAACCUUUGAUGGCACAGAAGAGGAGGAUCUUCCAACUAAGAACCCUGUCAACAAUGGUGCACCUGAACAAGUGCCUUUGCUAACUUUUGAAGAGCCUGGAACAACAAGGUUGGAAUCUUCAAAACAAGGAAAACUAAUCAGCCAAUUAUGGUAUCUUGUCGAAAAAUUGAAGUUAAAACAAUUUUUUCAGCCCCCAAUUAUUGCUUCUAUACUGGCAAUCAGUAUUGGUACAGUACCAUUUUUGAAGCACUUCAUCCUCAAGGAUGAUGCUCCACUCUUCUUCUUCACUGACAGCUGCCUCAUUCUUGGGGAAGCCAUGAUUCCAUGUAUUUUGCUCGCUUUGGGUGGUAAUCUUGUUGAUGGUCCAGGUGCAGGGAGUAAAAAGCUUGGAUUUCGAACAACUGCUGCCAUCAUAUUUGGUCGGCUGGUCUUGGUUCCUCCAGCAGGGCUUGGCAUUGUCACUAUGGCUGACAAGCUUGGCUUCAUCCCCAAGGGCGACAAGUUGUUCAAAUUUAUUCUUCUACUGCAGCAUUCAAUGCCUACUUCUGUGCUAUCUGGUGCAGUGGCCAAUUUACGAGGCUGCGGGAAGGAAUCAGCUGCUGUUCUAUUUUGGGUUCACAUUUUUGCUGUUUUCUCCAUGGCUGGAUGGAUUGUUCUUUAUCUAGUCAUACUUUUUUAAAAGCCCUAGUCCCUCAUUGUCAUGGCACUGCUCAAAUCCUUUCCUUUUCUCCCAGUGUUUUGGGAAAAGUGGAUGUGAUUACAAAUACAUCAUUGUUUACUUGCACAAUUGAUGCAUUUUGGGGAAUAGAAGGGCUCCUAAUUUUCUCCAUGUCUCUCAGAAUUGAUUUGUUGUACAAAUAUUUAUUCGGACAGAGUGGAAUCUGUAUCGACAAUUAGACAGAGCCUGGCAAAGGCUGGUGAUCGUCUGAUAGGUGGUAUCAUUUUGCUACAAUAAUUGCAAUGCAUGUGACCUAGGUGUUUCUCUCGGGGUCAGUAAAAUAUCAAGUUACAGUACAUCAUAGAUGCAAGAAAGUUGUUGCUACGGCUAUCUGGUUGUGUCCCGUGGAGAGGCACCUGUCCAUUGGAGGACCCAGCUCAGAUCGAUGUUCGUGCUGACAUUGCUGGUAGAGCAACUGAUAAAGUUCAUGGUCUGUGGAACGGAAGAGGCCGCUGGUUUGAGUUACAGCAGCUAUGCAAUAAAAGGGAUAUUUGCAAAGUGGGCAUGCAUUGUUCUCAACAUCUGCUAGCGAGAUGGCAGCAAGAGUGCCAGUCGGUGGAGCUGGGAAUAAGAUACAGAAUGAUGUAUCCAAAAAAGAAUCUGCGGACAAGCAAAUCACAGACGCGAAAAUCCUUCAUACUCCUGCCAAGUACUUGUGGUUGAAAGACAAUCUUGAGUUUCGGUUCAGGGUGUUGAUGGCACUGGGACUUCUGGUUGGGGCGAAGAUUAUUGUUUUAGAGAAUGGAAAGGUUGUGGAACAGGGUCCCCAUGAAGCUCUCUCGUCAAGGGCAGCAAGAUAUGCACAGUUAUGGGCCCAGCAGAACAACAAUGAUAUCGUAGAUGCUGCUGUCAAAGCAGAAGCUUGAAACUCCCUACACUUGCCAAAUCUACAUGAGGAAUUCUACUCCGUAGGAUCAGAUAAGCAUUUUUUUAAUAAUUUUAUAUGCAUACAAAAUUAUAUGAGCGAGUUUUAAUUCAUUUAUGCAACAUAAGCCAAUGUGCAUCGUGGCAUUCUUCACAGAUCAUUGUAAUCGGUGCUGUCUGAAUGCAGCUAUAAACAUUUUACAAAAUUAUAUGAGCCGAGCUUUAAUUCAUUUAUGUAACAUAA